UACAGAGGUCUCAAGCGUUGUUCGGAUUUACUGGGCGUAAAGGGUGUGUAGGCGGUUGGGUAAGUCUGAAGUGAAAUCUCUAAGCUCAACUUAGAAAAUGCUUCGGAUACUAUCCGGCUAGAGGGUCGGAGAGGAGAUUGGAAUUCUCGGUGUAGCAGUGAAAUGCGUAGAUAUCGAGAGGAACAUCAGUGGCGAAGGCGGAUCUCUGGACGAAUCCUGACGCUGAGGCACGAAAGCUAGGGUAGCAAACGGG
This 253-nucleotide ribosomal RNA is filed under the name uncultured bacterium. RNAcentral describes it as "partial 16S ribosomal RNA". It matches the Rfam family "Bacterial small subunit ribosomal RNA", at positions 524 to 776 of the family's 1533-position model. The record is from RNAcentral.